CCUCCCGACCCAGGGUGGUCCUGGGAUACACAUAGGGGUGGAGGGAAGUGACUGCUGCUGUUGGAUCUCAGAAUACAAAAGCUAAUACUAUUACCUAAUGUUCUUUUUAGUGUCUCUAAUGGGCCUAGGGGAUGCCAAAUUCCAGGGGCCAGAAAGAACUUGGGAUAAAAUGAAACUUCAAGGGGACGGCUUUGACCUGGGCUGAGUCUACCUGUGCCAUCCAACUGGAGUCUCAAGUCCUGAGGCAGGACGUCCAGAUGCCCCAGUGCAGGGCCCUCCUGAUCAACACCUGCUCCCCUCUACUCAUUAGCAACCUCACCCACCCUACUCUCAAAGCACACUUGGCUCUCGUAUCCAGGAGCUCUGCAUCUGUAGAUUCAGCAACAGCAGAUGGAAAAUAUUCAGAAAAUAAAUUGGACGGUUAUGUUUGUAUUGAA
Long non-coding RNA from Gorilla gorilla gorilla (western lowland gorilla), 437 nucleotides. RefSeq lists it as uncharacterized. The transcript has 2 exons. NCBI's taxonomy places the organism in Eukaryota, Metazoa, Chordata, Mammalia, Primates, Hominidae. The record is from RefSeq and is a predicted model, not a curated record.